RNAcentral lists this ribosomal RNA (439 nucleotides) under uncultured bacterium. RNAcentral describes it as "partial 16S ribosomal RNA". It matches the Rfam family "Bacterial small subunit ribosomal RNA", at positions 339 to 795 of the family's 1533-position model. The record is from RNAcentral.
CUACGGGGGGCAGCAGUGAGGAAUAUUGCACAAUGGGGGGAACCCUGAUGCAGCAACGCCGCGUGGAGGAUGACGCAUUUCGGUGUGUAAACUCCUUUUAUAUGUCAAGAAAAUGACGGUAGCAUAUGAAUAAGCACCGGCUAACUCCGUGCCAGCAGCCGCGGUAAUACGGAGGGUGCAAGCGUUACUCGGAAUCACUGGGCGUAAAGGACGCGUAGGCGGGUUGGAAAGUCAGGUGUGAAAUCCUACAGCUUAACUGUAGAACUGCACUUGAAACUUCUAAUCUAGAGUAUGGGAGGGGGAGAUGGAAUUAGUGGUGUAGGGGUAAAAUCCGUAGAUAUCACUAGGAAUACCUAAAGCGAAGGCGAUCUCCUGGAGCAUUACUGACGCUAAGGCGUGAAAGCGUGGGGAGCAAACAGGAUUAGAUACCUUAGUAGUC